GGAAUAGACGAGUAGUAUAAUAAUUAGACUGCGGACUUUUAUGCAAAAUGAAAAUUGGCUGCAUUAAUGGGGAGAAAUAGAAGCUGAAUAGUUAAUGAAGUUACACUGAUUGGCUCCCGAGUCGUCCAUAUGUAUCGUCUCCCUUACGGGGACACCCGGUAUGCAGAUCACAAAGGGUGUGGUCUCGCAGCGCAAAGGGAGAAAAAUCUCUUUGCUCUCUUAAGACGCAUUAUCGUGCGUAACGCAUCGUAUUUCAGCCACAGCUGGUUCGAAGAGGCCUGAUAUCUCCCGCGAAAAUAAACGUCUCGUAACGCGUCUACUCGCUCGUACGCAACCAUACAGGGUGGCUAACAUUGCAGCGAGACACAGUACACCGUUCACCUAAUUGUACACAAGAAGAAAAUAAACUAGAUUUGUCAAGAA
Molecule: non-coding RNA, 423 nt
Organism: Megalopta genalis
Lineage: Eukaryota; Metazoa; Arthropoda; Insecta; Hymenoptera; Halictidae
Source: RefSeq, a predicted model, not a curated record